UUUUUUCCAGUUAUAAAAAAGUUAAAAUUAUAAAUUUCAUAUUAUGUUCUAAAUAAAGUAGAAAUGACAUUCUACGAAGUAGAAAACGAAAUCCACCUUUUUCAUUUAAUCUACAAUGUUUAGAAUACGUGAUCUACGUAAAUAUGAGUAUUCUAAAAAUAUUUAGAAUACACAUUCCACGCUUAACAUAUCGUUCUAA
This 199-nucleotide long non-coding RNA is filed under the name Brassica rapa (field mustard). RNAcentral's name for it is "long non-coding RNA (BRAP_LNC006918)". The record is from RNAcentral. Lineage: Eukaryota; Viridiplantae; Streptophyta; Magnoliopsida; Brassicales; Brassicaceae.